GUUCUGAUGAGUUUAGGCCCUUCAUACGCCGACUUCCGGAGUUCAAGUUUUGGUACGCCAUCACCAAAGCUUUUUGUAUUGCAUUCCUCAUGACCUUCUUCUCACUCUUUGAUGUUCCGGUUUUCUGGCCCAUUCUUCUUUGCUAUUGGAUUGUUCUAUUUGUCCUGACAAUGAAGCGCCAGAUCAUGCACAUGAUAAAAUACAAAUAUAUCCCUUUCAGCAUUGGAAAACAGAGAUAUACGGGAAAGAGGUCUUCCGCAAGUAGCAAUGGCGUUUCAAGAGACUAAGUUUCAUCAUUUCCCCUCUGGUUAGUAUUAGACAGAAGUGUGCAGCAUUCCAACUCUUCUUUCAGUUUUCUUAUUGCUUCUUGUCAGACAAGUACCAAAUCAGGACACUGGUCGAAGAGAAACAGCUUUUAUGGUGGUAAUAUGGAUAUUGUAAUAGGUUUCUCUCAAUUCUGUGUUAACCACAAUACAUCCUAUACUUAGUUUUUCUUCUUGUGUUUGUUUUUGUUUAGGACAUUUAGGCUCUAUUACU
This 537-nucleotide unclassified non-coding RNA is filed under the name Hevea brasiliensis (rubber tree). Lineage: Eukaryota; Viridiplantae; Streptophyta; Magnoliopsida; Malpighiales; Euphorbiaceae. The record is from RNAcentral.